AUUGAACGCUGGCGGCAUGCUUUACACAUGCAAGUCGAACGGCAGCGCGGGCUUCGGCCUGGUGGCGAGUGGCGAACGGGUGAGCAAUACAUCGGAACGUGCCCAGUUGUGGGGGAUAGCUCGGCGAAAGCCGGAUUAAUACCGCAUACGACCUGAGGGUGAAAGCGGGGGAUCUUCGGACCUCGCGCUAUUGGAGCGGCCGAUGGCGGAUUAGCUAGUUGGUGGGGUAAAGGCCUACCAAGGCGACGAUCCGUAGCUGGUCUGAGAGGACGACCAGCCACACUGGAACUGAGACACGGCCCAGACUCCUACGGGAGGCAGCAGUGGGGAAUUUUGGACAAUGGGCGAAAGCCUGAUCCAGCAAUGCCGCGUGUGUGAUGAAGGCCUUCGGGUUGUAAAGCACUUUUGGCGGGAACGAAAAGGACUGUGCCAAUACCACGGUUCGAUGACGGUACCCGCAGAAUAAGCACCGGCUAACUACGUG
This 484-nucleotide ribosomal RNA is filed under the name uncultured bacterium. RNAcentral's name for it is "partial 16S ribosomal RNA". It matches the Rfam family "Bacterial small subunit ribosomal RNA", at positions 29 to 507 of the family's 1533-position model. The record is from RNAcentral.